Molecule: ribosomal RNA, 465 nt
Filed under: uncultured bacterium
Lineage: Bacteria
Description: partial 16S ribosomal RNA
Rfam family: Bacterial small subunit ribosomal RNA
Source: RNAcentral
GACGAACGCUGGCGGCGUGCUUAACACAUGCAAGUCGAACGGAAAGGCCCCUUUGGGGGUACUCGAGUGGCGAACGGGUGAGUAACACGUGAGUAACCUGCCCUUGACUUCGGGAUAACUUCAGGAAACUGGGGCUAAUACCGGAUAGGAAUCCUUGCUGCAUGGUGGGGGUUGGAAAGCUUCGGCGGUUUUGGAUGGACUCGCGGCUUAUCAGCUUGUUGGUGGGGUAGUGGCUUACCAAGGCUUUGACGGGUAGCCGGCCUGAGAGGGCGACCGGCCACAUUGGGACUGAGAUACGGCCCAGACUCCUACGGGAGGCAGCAGUGGGGAAUAUUGCACAAUGGGCGGAAGCCUGAUGCAGCAACGCCGCGUGCGGGAUGACGGCCUUCGGGUUGUAAACCGCUUUCAGCAGGUGCGAAGCUUGUGGUGACGGUACCUGCAGAAGAAGCACCGGCUAACUACGUG